Long non-coding RNA from Crotalus tigris (Tiger rattlesnake), 267 nucleotides. RefSeq lists it as uncharacterized. Lineage: Eukaryota; Metazoa; Chordata; Lepidosauria; Squamata; Viperidae. The record is from RefSeq and is a predicted model, not a curated record. The transcript is spliced from 3 exons.
CAUAAACAACAUCAGGAAUAAGGACUCCAAGAUUUGACAGUGAACCUUUUUCUGGGACAUACAGAUGCUCACUGAAGCCAGUCUGAUAUUGCGUUUUAGAGGCUGAUAAAAGCCCAAAACUGAAUAUACCUGCAAAGAGCAACAAUGCAAGAGAUAAAGGAAGAAGCAAGAGAACAGAGAUCCAUAUUCUGUUGCAGGCAGUGAUGGCAGCAUCUCUGCCUCAGUGGCCUCAAUCCAGCCACAGGCAUCCAGCAGCUCAGCUCCCAG